AAGAUACACUAAAGGCUUUAGAAAUGGGAGCUGUAGAGAUUCUAAUAGUCUAUGAAAAUCUGGAUAUAAUGAGAUAUGUUCUUCAUUGCCAAGGCACAGAAGAGGAGAAAAUUCUCUAUCUAACUCCAGAACAAGAGAAGGAUAAAUCUCAUUUCACAGACAAAGAGACAGGACAAGAACAUGAGCUGAUUGAGAGCAUGCCCCUGCUGGAAUGGUUUGCUAACAACUAUAAAAAAUUUGGAGCUACGUUGGAA
Molecule: non-coding RNA, 254 nt
Organism: Leptonychotes weddellii (Weddell seal)
Lineage: Eukaryota; Metazoa; Chordata; Mammalia; Carnivora; Phocidae
Source: RefSeq, a predicted model, not a curated record